GACGAACGCUGGCGGCGUGCUUAACACAUGCAAGUCGAACGGAAAGGCCCCCACUUUUUUGGUGGGGGUGCUCGAGUGGCGAACGGGUGAGUAACACGUGGGUGAUCUGCCCUGUACUUCGGGAUAAGCUUGGGAAACUGGGUCUAAUACCGGAUAGGACCAUGGUUUAGUGUCUCAUGGUGGAAAAAUUAUAGUUUUGGUGCAGGAUGAGCUCGCGGCCUAUCAGCUUGUUGGUGGGGUAAUGGCCUACCAAGGCGUCGACGGGUAGCCGGCCUGAGAGGGUGGACGGCCACAUUGGGACUGAGAUACGGCCCAGACUCCUACGGGAGGCAGCAGUGGGGAAUAUUGCACAAUGGGCGCAAGCCUGAUGCAGCGACGCCGCGUGGGGGAUGACGGCCUUCGGGUUGUAAACUCCUUUCGUUAGGGACGAAGCCGCACCUUUUUUGGGUGUGGUGACGGUACCUUUGUUAAGAAGCACCGGCUAACUACGUG
This 492-nucleotide ribosomal RNA is filed under the name uncultured bacterium. RNAcentral's name for it is "partial 16S ribosomal RNA". It matches the Rfam family "Bacterial small subunit ribosomal RNA", at positions 28 to 507 of the family's 1533-position model. The record is from RNAcentral.